Long non-coding RNA from Gallus gallus (chicken), 2454 nucleotides. Lineage: Eukaryota; Metazoa; Chordata; Aves; Galliformes; Phasianidae. The record is from Ensembl.
AAUAAAUUUCAUCCUACAUACAUAGGCUACACCUUGAGUACUGCAUUCAGGCUUGGGCCCCUCACUGCAAGAAGGACAGUGAGGCCCUGGAAUGCACCCAGAGAAGGACAACAAAGCUGUGAGGGCUCUGGAGCACAGGCCUUAUGAGGAGCAGCUGAGGGAUCUGGGAUUGUUCAGUCUGGACAAGAGGAGGCUCAGGGGUGACCUUAUCAUUCUCUACAGCUACCUGAAGGGUUGUUGUGGUCAGGUGGGGGUUGACCUCUUCUGCCAUGCAAGUGGCCGUAGGAUGAGAGAGAAUGGCCGCAAGUUGUGCCAGGGGAGAUGCGGGCUGGAUGUCAUUAUAUAUUUCUUCUCUGAGAGAGUGGUCAGGCGCUGGAAUGGGCUGCACAAGAAGGUGGUGGAGUUACCAUCCCUGGAGGUGUUCAAGGAACAUUUAGAUGUAGUACUGAGGGACAUGCUUUAGUGGGAAAUAUUGGCAGUAGGUGGACAGUUGGACUGGAUGAUUCUGAUUCUGAUUCUCUAAGCAGUUGGCUCUGAAUGUGUGUGAGCUUCACCUCAGCACAUACAGCUGUGGCAGUGCUCAGCUGGCUUCUAGCUGGGUAGCCGGGUGUGCUGGGGAAAGGAAUUUGUGACUCUUUCUACCUGGUCAUGUACAUAAACUAAUGGGAAGAAAACAGGUUGCUAGACGUGAGAUGCUAGAAGUGUUAGUGCUUUCCUGUCCUCUUUUCCCUUCACUGGGCUGCUUUUUACCUCUUAAUAAUUAUUUUGGAGUUGUCUGAACAGGCAAAAGUGCAUUAAGGACUUCCUUUGGAGAAAAGAAAAAAAAAAGGUAUCAUAGCAUUACAGAAUGGCUGGGGUUGGAGGAGACCCUCAAAGAUAUCUAGUUUCAACCCUCUAGCCAUAUGCAGGGUUGCCAACCACAAUCAGACUGCCCAGGAACCCAUCAAGUCUGGCCUUGAAUGCCUCCAGAGAUGGGGCAUCUACAGUUUCUCUGGGCAGUUCCAGUGCCCUUUGAGUAAAUAAUUUCUUCUUCCCCAGACCUGGAUACGGUAAUCCAAAUGGGGCCUCACAAGGGCAUAGCAGAGAGGGGUAAUCACCUCCCUUACUCUGCUGGCCACCCCUAUUUUGAUGCAGUCCAGGGUACCAUUGGGCUUCUGGGCUGUAAAAGCACAGUUCCUUCUUGGCAUGGCUGUUCUGUAGGAGUUCAUCUACCAGUCUGUAUCACAUCCAGGAUUGUCCCAACCUAAGUGCAGCACCCUGCACUUGGCCUUAUUCAAACUCACUAGGUUCUCAUGGGCCCACUUCUCAAGCCUGACCAGGUCCCUCUGGAUGGCUUCCCUUCCUUCUAUUGUAUUAUUGUAUUGACUGCACUACUCAGCUUAGUGUCAUCAGCGAACUCGCUGAGGGUACACUCAAUCCCAAUCAUUGUCAUGUGAGCAACAACAACAAAAAAAAAAUUGACAGGAGAGAACAGACUGCUGAUCAGAAAACCUCUGUGAAAAUAAAACCUUGAGAAUUUUUUAUAACUCUUAAGGAGGUAAGAGCUUUCAGACAAUUUCAGUUUGUAGUACUGAUAUGGUAUCAAGUUUUAUUCUGAAUAUGAGACACUCAUAUUCAAACCAUCUAUUAUUUUAUAUUUAGAGAUGCUUUUUGUGUGCAAUUUAUUUUUGUGUGCAAUUUAUUUCAAUGUCCACCUAUGAUCUGAGAUAGACUCGUACAAACUGAGGUGCAGAAAAACCACUGGCCUUUCACCCAUCUUGGACCUCCCAUGAUGACAAUGACUCAGACCCAGUCUAGGAAGUCAUGGUUUUUGACCAGCUCACAAGGAAAAGUACAGACUUCCAGCACGUGUUCAGGGAUCCUAAGGUAUUUGCUUAACUUUUAAGCAGAGAAGGUGUUUCUGUAUCAGAUCCAUCUUCAUGGAGCCGUGGAGGUGAAGGAUGGUUGAGUUGCACAGGUCUAUGAGGGAAGAUCUGCAAGCUUACAAUAGACAGUGACUUGCAGAAUUAAGAACUGUGGAGAAUUUUGCUAGUAAAUAUAUUAUGCUUUGAAUGUAUUAUUUCAAUCUUGCAAAGAUAGAAAUUUAUCUAAAAAUACUACUUAAUGAGUGUACACAGCUUUAAGCAGUGUGGUAGAUGGGCCAACUUGUGAUCUUACAUUUCAGUCUUUAAAGGCAAGAUAUCUUUAAGAUACAAGGCUCAAACAAGGAAAGGUUAAAGGAAAUUUUUUAUCAGGAGUAAGAAAAUUAAACACACAGUGCUUUGUGCACUGCCGAAUGUCAGUUUAUAACUGUGUUUUCUAGAACUGGAUUCACCCGUAGUGUUUUAAAUGCUUUACAAAGCCAACUAUAAGAAGAAAAGACUCAUCAGUACAAAAGAUAGAGGUAUUUGCAGUGAGCUUUAGAGAAAAAUUAAGAAACCGGAGUAUUCCGCGGAGUCACCAGUUGUUGUUUGC